UGAAACCAAUGACACACCUCUC
This 22-nucleotide non-coding RNA is filed under the name Arabidopsis thaliana (thale cress). Lineage: Eukaryota; Viridiplantae; Streptophyta; Magnoliopsida; Brassicales; Brassicaceae. The record is from RNAcentral.